RNAcentral lists this ribosomal RNA (450 nucleotides) under uncultured bacterium. RNAcentral describes it as "partial 16S ribosomal RNA". It matches the Rfam family "Bacterial small subunit ribosomal RNA", at positions 354 to 796 of the family's 1533-position model. The record is from RNAcentral.
GUGGGGAAUAUUGCACAAUGGGCGCAAGCCUGAUGCAGCCAUGCCGCGUGUAUGAAGAAGGCCUUCGGGUUGUAAAGUACUUUCAGCGAGGAGGAAGGCAUUAAGGUUAAUAACCUUGGUGAUUGACGUUACUCGCAGAAGAAGCACCGGCUAACUCCGUGCCAGCAGCCGCGGUAAUACGGAGGGUGCAAGCGUUAAUCGGAAUUACUGGGCGUAAAGCGCACGCAGGCGGUCUGUCAAGUCGGAUGUGAAAUCACCGGGCUCAACCUGGGAACUGCAUUCGAAACUGGCAGGCUAGAGUCUUGUAGAGGGGGGUAGAAUUCCAGGUGUAGCGGUGAAAUGCGUAGAGAUCUGGAGGAAUACCGGUGGCGAAGGCGGCCCCCUGGACAAAGACUGACGCUCAGGUGCGAAAGCGUGGGGAGCAAACAGGAUUAGAAACCCCGGUAGUCC